GGAGAAAUGAAGUUGAGGCUAAUGGAGCCUUGUCUGGGCCAUGGACCAUGUCUGUGAAGAAAGCCAGGCUGCUCAGAGAAGCAGGACAGUGAAAAAGAAGUCUGUGGAAAUGAACAGAGCAAAUCAAGCCAUGAGAAUUGGGAGCGGGUGACCUCGAUGCCUGAUACUUCAGUUCUCGGUUCCAUUCCUUCAUGAGGUCAUCUGAAACCUACAUGGACCCAGUUCUGACCAUUGUGAAGUGAGUGAAAUUUGGGGGGCAAGCAGCUAUUUGGAGAGGUGCCCUCACUCUUGAAAAAUAGACCCGAGAGAGAAACAUCACCUUUUCCACGGCUGGACAUAUUCUUAUUGCAACCAAGAGGGAAGUUAAAUUAGGACAAAGCUGCAACAGUGGACGGCGGAACAGCAAGGGGUCACGUCAGGCAGGCCCAAGGGCAACCUCUGGCCAACAGCCCACUAGGAAUGAAGACCCUCAAUCCAAAAGCCCAGAGGAACCAAAUGUUGCCAACAGCCAUGUGGCAGAUUCUUCUCUCAUUGAGCCUGCAGAUGAGACCACAGCCCAGGCCAACACCUUGACUGCAGCCUUCCGAGCGACCCUGAAGAAAAAAACCCAGCAGAACCUUGCCCAGACUCCUGACCCACAGAAACUGUGAGCUAGUAAACGUGUCUUUCUGU
Long non-coding RNA from Ailuropoda melanoleuca (giant panda), 672 nucleotides. RefSeq lists it as uncharacterized. The transcript has 3 exons. NCBI's taxonomy places the organism in Eukaryota, Metazoa, Chordata, Mammalia, Carnivora, Ursidae. The record is from RefSeq and is a predicted model, not a curated record.